RNAcentral lists this long non-coding RNA (673 nucleotides) under Capsicum annuum. Its description in RNAcentral is "long non-coding RNA (CANN_LNC000734)". The record is from RNAcentral. Lineage: Eukaryota; Viridiplantae; Streptophyta; Magnoliopsida; Solanales; Solanaceae.
UACUUGUUGAUUAUUUCGAUUCACAUGAUAAGAAUUGUUGCAAGACAAUGAACAAUUGAAUUUACAGAUACUUAUUGAAAACUUGUAUGCAUAACUGCUCUUGAUGAUUCUCGCUCGUUUCAAUUGUCACAUACCUAAGAUCAUGAAUAUUAAUGAAAUUAAAUGAAAUCUCCUAAAAAUUUCGAAGCCUUUCCGUCUCAAUCCAACCGACUCAAUCCUGAUCCAUCCCGAUCCGACAAUCCCAUCACCUUCCAUUGAGCAGAUUUAGCUAUAAAGCGAUAAAAAUAUUUAAUCAAAGAGAUAGAAUGAAUAAAAAGUUAAAAGAUUUUAAAUAUAGAAGUAUAUAUUUUUUAAUGGAAUGCAUAAAGAAUGUUAUAUUUAAAAAAAAAAAUUAAGGAAUUGGAGGCAGAAGAAGGGAAAUGGAGGAGGGGAUUAUAAUGUGGCGACUGAAACCCUUAUCAACAAGGUGAGAGUUUAUAAAAGACAUAAAGUGUGUUCGGUAUGAAGAAAAGCAUUUUCUGAAAAAUAUUUUUCUAUUUUCUCAUGAUCAUUUGGCUUAAAAAAAUAUUUUUUUAAUUAAAAUAAUUUCAUUCAAAGUAAGAAAAAUGACUUCUUUAGUCAAAGUAGAAAAAAUAAGUUGUAAUAUUGAUACCACUCUCAAAAUUAUCCAUUC